CUCUAGAUAGCUCAGUUGGAAGAGCAUGAGACUGUAACGGAAGCUUAAUUUGUAGCUAUCUCAGGGUCACCGGUUCGAUCCCGGUUCUGGAGA
This is a non-coding RNA of Phellopilus nigrolimitatus, 93 nucleotides long. The record is from the annotation of a GenBank genome assembly. NCBI's taxonomy places the organism in Eukaryota, Fungi, Basidiomycota, Agaricomycetes, Hymenochaetales, Hymenochaetaceae.